GGUAAUACGUAGGGAGCGAGCGUUAUCCGGAAUUAUUGGGCGUAAAGCGUGCGUAGGCGGUUAUAUAAGUCAUUUGUAAAAGAUCUCAGCCUAACUGAGUAAAGCGAAUGAAACUGUAUGACUUGAAUACGGUAGAGGUAAGUGGAAUUCCAUGUGUAGCGGUGGAAUGCGUAGAUAUAUGGAGGAACACCAAUGGCGAAGGCAACUUACUGGGCCGGAAUUGACGCUGAGGCACGAAAGCGUGGGGAGCAAACAGGAUUAGAUACCCUGGUAGUCCACGCCGUAAACGAUGAGAACUAAGUGUUGGAGUAAAAUUCAGUGCUGAAGUUAACGCAUUAAGUUCUCCGCCUGGGUAGUACGAUCGCAAGAUUGAAACUCAAAGGAAUUGACGGGAACCCGCACAAGCGGUGGAGUAUGUUGUUUAAUUCGAAGAUACACGAAGAACCUUACCAGGUCUUGACAUACCAUUGACAGGAUUAGAGAUAAUUUUUUCCUUCGGGACAAUGGAUACAGGUGGUGCAUGGUUGUCGUCAGCUCGUGCCGUGAGGUGUUGGGUUAAGUCCCGCAACGAGCGCAACCCUUAUUGUUAGUUGCUAAUAUUAAGUUAAGGACUCUAAUGAGACUGCCAGCGACAAGCUGGAGGAAGGUGGGGAUGACGUCAAAUCAUCAUGCCCCUUAUGACCUGGGCUACAAACGUACUACAAUGGCUGAUACAAAGAGAAGCAAGACCGCGAGGUGGAGCAAACCUCAUAAAAUCAGUCUCAGUUCGGACUGGAGUCUGCAACUCGACUCCACGAAGUCGGAAUCGCUAGUAAUCGCAAGUCAGCAGAUUGCGGUGAAUACGUUCCCGGGUUUUGUACACACCGCCCGUCAAACCACGAGAGUUUGUAACACCCGAAGCCGGUGGCCUAAC
RNAcentral lists this ribosomal RNA (913 nucleotides) under marine sediment metagenome. RNAcentral's name for it is "bacterial SSU rRNA". It matches the Rfam family "Bacterial small subunit ribosomal RNA", at positions 519 to 1439 of the family's 1533-position model. The record is from RNAcentral.